Molecule: ribosomal RNA, 1553 nt
Filed under: Salmonella enterica subsp. enterica serovar Saintpaul
Lineage: Bacteria; Pseudomonadati; Pseudomonadota; Gammaproteobacteria; Enterobacterales; Enterobacteriaceae
Description: partial 23S ribosomal RNA
Rfam family: Bacterial large subunit ribosomal RNA
Source: RNAcentral
AAUCCAUAGGUUAAUGAGGCGAACCGGGGGAACUGAAACAUCUAAGUACCCCGAGGAAAAGAAAUCAACCGAGAUUCCCCCAGUAGCGGCGAGCGAACGGGGAGGAGCCCAGAGCCUGAAUCAGCAUGUGUGUUAGUGGAAGCGUCUGGAAAGGCGCGCGAUACAGGGUGACAGCCCCGUACACAAAAGCGCAUGUGCUGUGAGCUCGAUGAGUAGGGCGGGACACGUGGUAUCCUGUCUGAAUAUGGGGGGACCAUCCUCCAAGGCUAAAUACUCCUGACUGACCGAUAGUGAACCAGUACCGUGAGGGAAAGGCGAAAAGAACCCCGGCGAGGGGAGUGAAAAAGAACCUGAAACCGUGUACGUACAAGCAGUGGGAGCACAGGUUUACCUGUGUGACUGCGUACCUUUUGUAUAAUGGGUCAGCGACUUAUAUUCUGUAGCAAGGUUAACCGUAUAGGGGAGCCGGAGGGAAACCGAGUCUUAAUUGGGCGUUAAGUUGCAGGGUAUAGACCCGAAACCCGGUGAUCUAGCCAUGGGCAGGUUGAAGGUUGGGUAACACUAACUGGAGGACCGAACCGACUAAUGUUGAAAAAUUAGCGGAUGACCUGUGGCUGGGGGUGAAAGGCCAAUCAAACCGGGAGAUAGCUGGUUCUCCCCGAAAGCUAUUUAGGUAGCGCCUCGUGAAUUCAUCUCCGGGGGUAGAGCACUGUUUCGGCUAGGGGGCCAUCCCGGCUUACCAACCCGAUGCAAACUGCGAAUACCGGAGAAUGUUAUCACGGGAGACACACGGCGGGUGCUAACGUCCGUCGUGAAGAGGGAAACAACCCAGACCGCCAGCUAAGGUCCCAAAGUCAUGGUUAAGUGGGAAACGAUGUGGGAAGGCCCAGACAGCCAGGAUGUUGGCUUAGAAGCAGCCAUCAUUUAAAGAAAGCGUAAUAGCUCACUGGUCGAGUCGGCCUGCGCGGAAGAUGUAACGGGGCUAAACCAUGCACCGAAGCUGCGGCAGCGAACGUAUCACCCAAGACAACUUUACGGAGUUGACGAUUGACGGAGCGAAGCGACGUCAAAGCGUUCAUUAAAGUCGAGUUGGCUUAGGGAUACGUUCGUUGGGUAGGGGAGCGUUCUGUAAGCCUGUGAAGGUGUGUCGUGAGGCAUGCUGGAGGUAUCAGAAGUGCGAAUGCUGACAUAAGUAACGAUAAAGCGGGUGAAAAGCCCGCUCGCCGGAAGACCAAGGGUUCCUGUCCAACGUUAAUCGGGGCAGGGUGAGUCGACCCCUAAGGCGAGGCCGAAAGGCGUAGUCGAUGGGAAACGGGUUAAUAUUCCCGUACUUGGUGUUACUGCGAAGGGGGGACGGAGAAGGCUAUGUUGGCCGGGCGACGGUUGUCCCGGUUUAAGCGUGUAGGUGUGUGUUCCAGGUAAAUCCGGUUCACUUUAACACUGAGGCGUGACGACGAGGCACUACGGUGCUGAAGCAACAAAUGCCCUGCUUCCAGGAAAAGCCUCUAAGCAUCAGGUAACAUCAAAUCGUACCCCAAACCGACACAGGUGGU